CCUACGGGGGGCAGCAGUGAGGAAUAUUGGUCAAUGGACGAGAGUCUGAACCAGCCAAGUAGCGUGAAGGAUGACUGCCCUAUGGGUUGUAAACUUCUUUUAUAUGGGAAUAAAACGUUCCACGUGUGGGAUUUUGUAUGUACCAUAUGAAUAAGGAUCGGCUAACUCCGUGCCAGCAGCCGCGGUAAUACGGAGGAUCCGAGCGUUAUCCGGAUUUAUUGGGUUUAAAGGGAGCGUAGGUGGAUUGUUAAGUCAGUUGUGAAAGUUUGCGGCUCAACCGUAAAAUUGCAGUUGAAACUGGCAGUCUUGAGUACAGGAGAGGUGGGCGGAAUUCGUGGUGUAGCGGUGAAAUGCUUAGAUAUCACGAAGAACUCCGAUUGCGAAGGCAGUUCACUGGACUGCAACUGACACUGAGGCUCGAAAGUGUGGGUAUCAAACAGGAUUAGAUACCCUUGUAGUC
RNAcentral lists this ribosomal RNA (460 nucleotides) under uncultured bacterium. Its description in RNAcentral is "partial 16S ribosomal RNA". It matches the Rfam family "Bacterial small subunit ribosomal RNA", at positions 338 to 795 of the family's 1533-position model. The record is from RNAcentral.